UUACAUUGAGGCCACAGUCGAUAGUGCC
This 28-nucleotide non-coding RNA is filed under the name Mus musculus (house mouse). The record is from RNAcentral. Lineage: Eukaryota; Metazoa; Chordata; Mammalia; Rodentia; Muridae.